RNAcentral lists this ribosomal RNA (372 nucleotides) under uncultured organism. RNAcentral's name for it is "bacterial SSU rRNA". It matches the Rfam family "Bacterial small subunit ribosomal RNA", at positions 526 to 896 of the family's 1533-position model. The record is from RNAcentral.
CGUAGGGUGCAAGCGUUGCCCGGAUUUAUUGGGCGUAAAGGGCGCGCAGGCGGCCACGCACGUCCGUUGUGAAAUCGCCCGGCUCAACUGGGCGGGGUCAGCGGAUACGGCGUGGCUGGAGCAAGCUAGGGGGCAGUGGAAUUCCCGGUGUAGUGGUGGAAUGCGUAGAUAUCGGGAGGAACACCAGUGGCGAAGGCGGCUGCCUGGAGCUUUGCUGACGCUGAGGCGCGAAAGCGUGGGGAGCGAUCCGGAUUAGAUACCCGGGUAGUCCACGCCGUAAACGAUGUCGACUAGGUGUCGGGGGUAUCGACCCCCUCGGCGCCGCAGCUAACGCAUUAAGUCGACCGCCUGGGGACUACGGCCGCAAGGCUA